AUUCCUGCUGACCUCAAGACACACUUGGUGCUUGCAGUGCUGAUACCUGCUCUUUGCCGGCCUGGGCCUCCUGCCAGAAGAGAUCCUGACCCCCACACUCUACCAUGGCUACUAUGUCCGGCCUCGGGCCGCCCCAGCUGGGGAGGGCAGCAGGGCAGGGGCCUCCGAGCUUAGGCUCAGUGAGGGCAAGUUCCAGGCAUUUCUGGAUGUGAGCCACUUUACCCCAGACGAGGUGACUGUGAGGACUGUGGAUAACCUGCUGGAGGUGUCUGCCCGGCACCCCCAGCGCCUGGACCGCCACGGCUUCGUGUCCCGAGAGUUCUGCCGCACCUAUGUCCUGCCUGCUGAUGUCGACCCCUGGCGAGUCCGAGCUGCUCUCUCCCAUGAUGGCAUCUUAAACCUGGAAGCACCUCGGGGUGGCCGACAUUUGGACACAGAGGUCAAUGAGGUCUACAUCUCCCUGCUCCCUGCGCCUCCUGAUCCAGAGGAAGAGGAGGAGGCAGCCAUAGUUGAGCCCUGAUUGCCACAGACCCAGCACCCAGCAAAUCCCUCUCUACCUCCCAAGGAGCUGCCCAUCAACUUUCCAGAAGAAAAAGAAAACAGGAAGCCAAACAAGACGGACACUGAAGCCGCAGCCACAACAGCUGCAGCAGAAUCUCCCAAAGGGCCAUGAAACAACAGGACAUACGUAUGAACGGGUGUUACAGCAGCAAGGGUCUCAAGAGAGGAGUCCAGGCCUCAUGUCGGAAGACAGCAACUUACAUUAUGCUGACAUUCAAGUGUGCAGCCGUCCCCAUGCCCGGGAAGUGAAACACGUGCAUUUAGAAAACGCUACAGAGUAUGCGACCCUUCGCUUCCCCCAGGCCACACCUCGCUAUGACAGCAAGAACGGGACCCUGGUGUGAGCGCUUGGGAGGAAGGCCCAGUCCAUCGUUAACCACUACACCUGUGGGGGAGAACCUACUGCUUUGGGGAAUUGGGUGGCAACCCAGGGAUGUUGUCCACGUUUUAAGCUUAAAGAACUCCAAAGCCCCUGGAAUUGUGGGCGUCCCAUUUUCUCCCCUGGCCUCUUACUUGCCACUGUUAGGUUGGAGUUAAUAGUUGGUUUAGCUAUGGGUGGAUAGCUAAACUUAGCUAUCCACAUGAGGUUAGGUGGAGUGUGCAGGGAGGUAGGUCUUCGACCCCACCAUUGUUGCUCCUGCUCUUGCAAAGUGCAGAAAGAGCAGGUAAAAAGUUAGCCCAUAAGCACGUGGGCUGAUCUUGUUGGACUUUAAUUAAUGGUAUCCUUUUUCACACACCUUAAACUCCAAAGCUGAAGGGGAGGUGCUCCGGAAAAGCAUUCUGAGCUUUUACAUUCAGACACUAGGGCUGGCUUGGGCCAUUUCCUCAGUGGCUGAGUCAGGUUCCAGACCUUAACAGACAAAUGGGGGAAGGGGGCUGAGGCGUGGAGGAAACGCUUUCAGGACCUCAAGUCAGUGAUAACCGACAGCACAGUGAGGCCUGGAAACUUCCCUCGGAGGGACUGUUGGCUCUCGCAGGUGCGGGGCCGCUAGGAUCAAUAAACGGCCUGAGAAACAUGCCUGGCGCGUUUUCUGGGGCGGGGCCCCGAAGCUCCUUGCGAGGACAGCGGAUCCCGCCCAGUUUUAAGGGCGGUUCGAAAGUCCAGCCAGUAGACAGGCCUUCCGGCCCCACCCCCAGGCCGCGGCUGGAGGCGGAGCUGGAGGGGGGUGGGGUUUAG
This 1738-nucleotide long non-coding RNA is filed under the name Homo sapiens (human). RNAcentral describes it as "HSALNT0364858". Lineage: Eukaryota; Metazoa; Chordata; Mammalia; Primates; Hominidae. The record is from RNAcentral.